GGGGAUGUAAUGGUUUCGACGGGGUCUUGAAGGUACGGGUAGCGAGUCGUGUAACUCCUCUUUAUCACGUAAAACUAUGGGGAACUUAAAUUAAACGCAAACGAAAAUUACGCUUUAGCGGCUUAGUUGCUGCUCGUUUUCACCGAGAUUCCUACGACUUGGAUGAAAACGUCAGAUAGUAGGGCACUGCUUUGUGGAUAUCUGGACAUAAAGUAGAAUAAUUCAGAUGUAGCUGAUAGGGAGCUUAGUUGUUGGGGCGCCCAG
Molecule: transfer-messenger RNA, 264 nt
Filed under: Acetoanaerobium sp.
Lineage: Bacteria; Bacillati; Bacillota; Clostridia; Peptostreptococcales; Filifactoraceae
Description: partial transfer-messenger RNA
Rfam family: transfer-messenger RNA
About the family: Bacterial tmRNA, also known as 10Sa RNA or SsrA, is named for its dual tRNA and mRNA-like properties. Its role is to liberate the mRNA from a stalled ribosome. To accomplish this part of the tmRNA is used as a reading frame that ends in a translation stop signal.
Source: RNAcentral